Molecule: non-coding RNA, 5604 nt
Organism: Equus caballus (horse)
Lineage: Eukaryota; Metazoa; Chordata; Mammalia; Perissodactyla; Equidae
Source: RefSeq, a predicted model, not a curated record
UAUUUCUUACUCCGAAGUCAAAAGAGGACUACUUGUUGAUCAAGAAAACAUGAGUUUGUAGCUACAGGUCUGAGAACUCUUAACUCCAAGUAUUUUGGGUAUAUUUUCCCAAACUGGUAGCCCUACCCAGUCUCUGGAGUGGGUUUGUGGGGCUGAGAACUCCAAAAUACAAUGUCAGCCUUUAUUUGUAAAUUGGUUCCAUCAGAGACACAGAUGCGUGAAAUCAGAUUAGCGGUACUGUUAUUUUUUACUGGCAUAAUUAAUCCCAUGUUGUUGACAGGCUGAUGAUCACUACGGUAUUUCUUCAUAUGAAUAGGAAUUGCUCUCAUCUGAGUUUUCGGGGUUUGGGUUUUUUUAUUCUUUUCUCUUUUUUUUGGUGUUGGAGUGGCAGUUUGAAGACUAAACUGUGUCUCAACCUUAGCUUUACAUGAAAAUUGUAAAACUAUUUUAUUCAUGUACUGUUUUACAUGAAAUUUAGAAACUAUGACACCAAGAAACAGAUCUUAACCUCACUCUCAACAACUGUUACUCAAACAGACACCAUCAAGUUAAACAAAACCACUUCGCUCUGUGGCUUCCCAAAAUGGAGAUAACUGAUUUCUCUCUUUUUAUUUUUCCACACUUCCUGAAUCUCUAAACAAAGUAUAAGAACAGUAUAAACAAUCAAGGGGAAUAAAUAUUUAAGGUGCUGGAAAUUAGAACAAAUGGAGCUAUAGAAACUUGAAUUAUAGGAUAUUAAGACUGGAGUCAGGCUCUCAGAGGAUGGGAAAAGAUUCUCUAACUCUGCUCCUUGUGUUUGGAGCAACCUAUUUCAGGUGUCUACCUGGAACCGCAUGUGACCUGAAAGAAGAUGCUUCUAACGUUUACACAGUGGUAGAAAGUGAGCCUACGGACCAAAAUAAAUAGCAGCCCUCAAACAAGCUGUCAGGAUAGUUUUCAAGCUUUUCCUAAUGGCUCAGUCUCUAGAUAAGACCAGACUUAAUUUAUUAAGGAAAGUCCUGAUGUCUACAGUAUUCUUCUAAAUUAUACAAUAAUCGUAAAACAUUAAUAAACCUUCCUAGGUGGAAAAUGGACUAAGGGAGUAACUGUGAACCAACUGGCUCAAAUGAUUAUUCUAAUCAUCUAAGGAAACCAGUUUAAUAAAAGCAGUCAUAAUCUCUCUCACCUUGGGUUACCAAUAUUGGUCCUAAUCUUUAUUAUUAUGGGAUCAUCCAUCCUUUAGAAAUCAUCACAAGCCUAAAGUCCAUCCUCUAAACUACCCAUCAGUCCAGUACGUCUCCGCCAGAGGAUCCUGAAGGGGACCGGGUACAGGGGAUGACCAGAGAAGGGUGCAUGGGAACAGGCUGGGCACGAGGAACCACAUUUCUCAAGUAUAAAAGGUGGCAGAGAUCCUCCAAAGUCACUUCUUUGGAUCUGUCACAGACUACAGAGACCUCAGCUGUGUUAACCCUUGACCCAAGUUCCUUUCAUGACCCUCUGGUAUGUUAUCUUAGACUAAAUUCUAAAUCCAGCCUAGCUUCCCAGUGAUCACCCCAACGGCAUUCACUGUGUGCUUGAUUAAUGAGCACCACCAGCGCUCAGUGCCUCCGCCUGGGCCUUUGGGACUGAUGACCCGGAUGAGCCCUAAGACACUGAUGAUAAAUGCUGAUGAGUGCUAGAUACUGAGCAGAGUGAAGUAGAAAAUCUCAAAGCCCCAUGUAAGAGCUACUGAUGAGACUGAACACUUUGUUACAGUUAAAGGGACGUUCUAUAUCUGAUUUCCCUCCUAGGCCCUGUAUCCUGCAUUAUUUCGUUAAACAAAUCUUGCCUUUAAAGCUCAUUGCACAUAUUCUGUACACAUUCUCGUGGCUUGGUACAACGGCUGUUAGUGUUACGGCCGAUUGUGUCCCAGUUGUGUCAGGGUCAAACCACAGUCAAAACCAGUGCCACUGAUAAAGGAUAGAUAAGAACCCCAAGUUUUUCCCUACUUUGAAACAAUCAGGCAGACAAGUCACAAAUAGCACAAAGGAGCAGUGAAUGGAAAAGAUUUCAACUUUCGGUGGUAAUUGUGCACUUCCUUUUCGCUUGUAUGAUGUAUUAGCCAGAGAAUGGUCUCUAAAGAGAAACGGAAGAGGAAAGCACAGAACCUUAUCAAAAAAUACAGCCAGCUAAAUCCCUUCCCUCCAGUUACACUUUUUCAAAGCCUAAUAUAAUUAUUCACCGAUUUCUAUUCUGAAGUUGGUAAUGACGAGAGUAAUAAAUCUAUCUCCCUUCCUUUGUGCUACGAAUUCAGUGAACUAAAGAAUGAAGCUCCAUAAAAGGCGGCCUAAAAAACACCGUUUAUAGAAAUAACCCUGAAAAAGAAUUCAGGAUCUGAGCUUCCAGACUCUAUUAACAAUAAGGCAAGAAACAAGGCCCCAGGAUGCUGAGGAGAAAGAGAGUAUUUUCCACUGUCCUGAAGUGACCUUUCCCCUCCCCCUCAGUCUCUGGCAGUGGCUCCCAAUGACACUUUACAGGUCACAAAGGAGCUGCAUGCAGCUGUCCUCACUUCUCAAGGGAGUCACUUCUACAGGGCCAUCAGGGAGACAAUACCAUGAGAACAAGAAGGGGGGAAGGGUUGCAAGGUACACUCCUUACCCUUGCUGUUCCCUCCUAGGGAAAGACUUUAGAUAAGUAAAAUAUCUGAAAGCACUUCAUACUAGCUUUGAACUCACUUGGGAUCAUCUAAGAAGCUUCCCAGCGAGUGGUUCGAGUGGUUCGCUGUGCCGAGCCCUGCUUCCCACCGAGGAUGAAUUCUAGCCUCGGCUGCAAUUCCCACUGGACAAAGCUGCUGGGACCUGUAUUAGCAAACUCUCUACAAAAUAAGCUCGUCGAUGGUAUAACCACACAACAGAGUGAGUUUGCCUGAAAUGAACUACUGUUCCUUCCUGACUUCUAGCUUCUGUGUACUUCCGGAGUCAACAAGUUCUGUGUCCCGGUUCCAACAUCUGCCUUGGUUUUCCUAGUCCUGAUUAAUCACACCGCUCCAACAAUCUAGAAAUGCCCGGGCCAGUAAUCACCAGCAGAAUGUCUUGGAAGAGCUGCAGAACAGAUGUACUCAGAAUGCCCGCUCUCCCCCUCAGGAACCGACCGGAGCACCCUCAGGUGUGAAUGACAAUGAUACAAGCCUUGAAAGCAGCUGUGAGUUAUACAGGAAUAUGAAGUGCCAGAUACAUAACAAACACAUCAUAAAUGAUGAUUUCUAUAUUAUCCUUGGGCUUUUUCUUUUUUUGGAGACUUCAGAAAAAUUAAAAAAUUACACAAAAUCUCCAAAUCCCCAACUCUUCUUGUAGUGAAAGCCAAUGGGAAAAAAAAAAAACUGUAGGGAGCUCUUACAAACAUAUGUGAAGAGACAGAUAAAUAUUAGAUGGAUUUCUGUGUGGGCAAGAAUACAUUAUUUUAGGAGGAAACAAUCCAAAUUAUAUUUUAAAUAUAAUAGGUUUUUACAGUAAAGGAACCCAAGAAUUAAUAUAAAUGAUUCUCUGAGGACAUGAGCCUAAAUUAUCACUGGGCCCUAAAAUCUGGCAGAGACUACUCUUUGCCCCUCAAUAUUGAUUCUCCACUUGUUAUUUUACUAUAAAACUCCCUUCGUUUCAGCUGUGCAUAUGGCUGCCCAACUACACAGCACAUUUCCAGGCUCCCCUGCAGCUGAUUCAGGGAUGUUAGGAACUUCUGGCCAAGGGAUGAGUGACAGUGACCUGUGGAACUUGUCUCCCACCUUCCUUCCCCCUGGGGCUGCAAUGUGAAAGGGGUCCCUGGAAGCAUCAACCAUCCCUACAAGAACACCCUAGUGUCGUGGUUCCGAAACCUCCUCCGCACAUUGGAACCACCUGGAGAAGCUAUAUAAAAUACUGAUGGCUGGCUCUCUCUCCUACAGACUGAUUUAAUUGCGGCUAGGGGAUGGUGGAGCAAUAAGACAGAAGGAGCGGGAGUCUCUGAAUGACCUGAUGGAGCUAAGCCACGUACUCCCCUGGAACAUUGCUGGGCGAUGGUAUCAAAAAAUUAAAUAACCAGAGCUCCAAGAGAGGAUGCCGAAAAGGCCAUGUUGAUUACAUAUGGCUUUCAUAUUCACAAAUAAUCCUUCUGUGUUGUUUAAACUACUGUUGUUUGGCUUUAGAGAAAGCAGCUGAACAAAUAUCCUUAUAAAUAAACACAAUAAACACAAAAAUUCUGGUCCUCAAGUGUAGGUAAAAGAAAAAAAAUACUCUCCUUUUUCUAAAGAAAAAACUACAGUACACCAAUAGCAAAAAAAGAGAGCGUAGUUUUAAUACAAGCCAGGAAAAUCGUUGGUGAGGUAGAGAAGAUUCAUUAAAGAAAAACUAAAAAUAAAUUUAAAAUAUUAAGAUUAUUCAGUUUGACAAUACAGAGGCAGAAAAAUAUAUUAAAGUUUGCUAAUUCAUUAAUAAUUGGCAUAAAUCAAUGAGAACUUGAAAUAAAAUAGGAAAUCUCAAAAAAAGAUGAUUUUAGGACAAAGUUAAAUAAAUGCUGUCUCAUCUUAUAGGCCCAUUUUUGAUAGGACACAGAUUAGACUGCUUUUAUUUUGUUACUCUGUCAUCCUCAACAUGUGACUUCAAUUUCAUGGUCCAAAAUGGCUGCCCCAUCACCUGCCAUCACAUUCUCACACCAGCCAGGAAGAAGGGGGAGCGUACAUACUUCUUCAUUAUAAGGGCACACCUCAGAAGUUACCCAUGCCACUUCAGUUCACAUCCCACUGCCCAGAACCUAUUCAUAUGCCCACAUUUAACUGCAAGGGAGGCUGGGAAACGUAGUCUUAAGCUGGACAAGCAUGCAUUGAGCUAAAACUUUUACCACUAUAAAGAAAAGAAUCUUGGAUAUUGGGGGCAAUUAGAAGUCUCUGCCAGAGGGCUCAUUAUUAAGAGGUACAAAAAAAUUAGGAUGAAGGUGUGUCUGGAAAUAUUCAAAAACAAUUCGUAACAUAAAAUACGUAAAUACAAAAAUAUUUCUGUAUAAAAUCUAAAUUAAAAUUUCUAUAUAACAAUAUAUUAAAGUUAUAUAAAGUCAAACACAACAUAGAUAUACAGUGUAGAAAAUGAAAGCCCACUUUAUUCCCAUAAUUUCACCUCUGCGAAAAUAAUGAAUUAUUAAAAAAUAUCUUGGAAUAUGUGGGUUUGGGACUAACAUUUAGGUGAAAUAAUGUCUUUCCAUAGCUCUUCCCCUAGUGCUACUGACAGAAAUAAAACUUUGGAAUGGGAGAUGUCAUUUCUGUAAUCCUCAGAUUCCUUUCUUUGGGGUAAUAGUCUCAAAUAAGAAAAAACCGGAAUCCAAGGAAGCAGGAAAUCAAGGCCACCUUGCGACAUUACAAGACAUCAAAGGAAAACAACAUUUCUUGCACAAUCACUGAAAAUGUGUCACCAUCUAUAAAGCCUCUCCUACUGGCAAGAAGACAACUUAAAUAGACAAUUAAAAUAACAAGAGUGGCAAAGCAAAGUCAAACAUAGACAGCAACUCUUAUUUGACUCUCAGAGAAACAGUUUUAAAAUGAAUAAAAAUGUUUACCCAUUCAUACUCUAUUUUGCCGUAUUGUUGCUAUAAACCCAGAGAAUAUUUUUAUAUCAGUAUUCUAAA